This 433-nucleotide ribosomal RNA is filed under the name uncultured bacterium. RNAcentral's name for it is "bacterial SSU rRNA". It matches the Rfam family "Bacterial small subunit ribosomal RNA", at positions 373 to 793 of the family's 1533-position model. The record is from RNAcentral.
GGGGGGAAAACCCUGAUGCAGCCAUGCCGCGUGUGUGAAGAAGGCCUUUCGGGUUGUAAAGCACUUUCAGUAGGGAGGAAGGUAGUGUAGUUAACACCUGCAUUAUUUGACGUUACCUACAGAAGAAGCACCGGCUAACUCCGUGCCAGCAGCCGCGGUAAUACGGAGGGUGCGAGCGUUAAUCGGAAUUACUGGGCGUAAAGCGCAUGCAGGCGGCCUGUUAAGUCAGAUGUGAAAGCCCGGGGCUUAACCUCGGAAUUGCAUUUGAAACUGGCAGGCUAGAGUCUUGUAGAGGGGGGUAGGAAUUUCAGGUGUAGCGGUGAAAUGCGUAGAGAUCUGAAGGAAUACCAGUGGCGAAGGCGGCCCCCUCGGACAAAGACUGACGCUCAGAUGCGAAAGCGUGGGGAGCAAACAGGAUUAGAUACCCUGGUAG